GGGAUCGCCCUAGUAACGGCGAGUGAAGCGGCAACAGCUCAAAUUUGAAAUCUGGCGUCUUUGGCGUCCGAGUUGUAAUUUGCAGAGGGCGCUUUGGCAUUGGCAGCGGUCCAAGUUCCUUGGAACAGGACGUCACAGAGGGUGAGAAUCCCGUACGUGGUCGCUAGCCUUUACCGUGUAAAGCCCCUUCGACGAGUCGAGUUGUUUGGGAAUGCAGCUCUAAAUGGGAGGUAAAUUUCUUCUAAAGCUAAAUACUGGCCAGAGACCGAUAGCGCACAAGUAGAGUGAUCGAAAGAUGAAAAGCACUUUGGAAAGAGAGUUAAAAAGCACGUGAAAUUGUUGAAAGGGAAGCGCUUGCAGCCAGACUUGCCUGUAGUUGCUCAUCCGGGUUUCUACCCGGUGCACUCUUCUAUAGGCAGGCCAGCAUCAGUUUGGGCGGUUGGAUAAAGGUCUCUGUCAUGUACCUCUCUUCGGGGAGAACUUAUAGGGGAGACGACAUGCAACCAGCCUGGACUGAGGUCCGCGCAUCUGCUAGGAUGCUGGCGUAAUGGCUGUAAGCGGCCCGUCUUGAAACACGGACCAAGGAGUCUAACAUCUAUGCGAGUGUUUGGGUGUCAAGCCCGAGCGCGUAAUGAAAGUGAACGGAGGUGGGAACCUUUCGGGGUGCACCAUCGACCGAUCCUGAUGUCUUCGGAUGGAUUUGAGUAAGAGCAUAGCUGUUGGGACCCGAAAGAUGGUGAACUAUGCUUGAAUAGGGUGAAGCCAGAGGAAACUCUGGUGGAGGCUCGCAGCGGUUCUGACGUGCAAAUCGAUCGUCAAAUUUGGGCAUA
Molecule: ribosomal RNA, 830 nt
Filed under: Didymella anserina
Lineage: Eukaryota; Fungi; Ascomycota; Dothideomycetes; Pleosporales; Didymellaceae
Description: LSU rRNA
Rfam family: Eukaryotic large subunit ribosomal RNA
Source: RNAcentral